Molecule: ribosomal RNA, 253 nt
Filed under: uncultured bacterium
Lineage: Bacteria
Description: partial 16S ribosomal RNA
Rfam family: Bacterial small subunit ribosomal RNA
Source: RNAcentral
UACGUAGGGGGCAAGCGUUGUCCGGAUUUAUUGGGCGUAAAGAGCGUGUAGGCGGCCGUACAGGUCAGCUGUGAAAACUCGAGGCUCAACCUCGAGACGUCGGUUGAAACCGUACGGCUAGAGUCCGGAAGAGGAGAGUGGAAUUCCCGGUGUAGCGGUGAAAUGCGCAGAUAUCGGGAAGAACACCCGUGGCGAAGGCGGCUCUCUGGGACGGUACUGACGCUGAGACGCGAAAGCGUGGGUAGCAAACAGG